CACACACACACUCAUCACACACACACCUCCACCUACACCCAUCAGCACUCCCCACACACGCCACACACACACUCAUCACACACACCCAUCGCACACACCACACACUCAUCACACACAUGCUUAUCACACACUCACACACCACACACACGCUCAUCACACACACCACACACACGUUCACCACACUCACACACACACCAAACACAUGCUUAUCACACACUUGCUCAUCACACACACACACCCCUCCACCUGCACCCAUCCCCAUUCCCCACACACAUCACACACACACUCAUCACACACACCCAUUGCACACACACCACACAAUCACACACACCUCCACCUGCACCCAUCAGCACUCCCCACACACAUCACACACACACUCAUCACCCACACCCAUCGCACACACACCACACACAUCACACACAUGCUCACCACACACAUUCAUCACACACAUCACACAUAUGCUCAUCACACCUGCUCAUUACACACUCAUCACACACACCACACACACAAACUCAUCACACAUACACCUGCACACAGCCACACACACAGGCCCAUCACACAGACACCAUGCACCACACACACACUCAUCACACAUACACACAAACCCAAC
This 610-nucleotide long non-coding RNA is filed under the name Pan troglodytes (chimpanzee). RNAcentral describes it as "long non-coding RNA NONPTRT004944". Lineage: Eukaryota; Metazoa; Chordata; Mammalia; Primates; Hominidae. The record is from RNAcentral.